This 1241-nucleotide ribosomal RNA is filed under the name metagenome. Its description in RNAcentral is "bacterial LSU rRNA". It matches the Rfam family "Bacterial large subunit ribosomal RNA", at positions 1564 to 2814 of the family's 2925-position model. The record is from RNAcentral.
UGAAUACGAGAUGCUACGGCAUCGAAGCAGUCUAUGUCAUACUUCCAAGAAAAGCUUGCACUGUCAUAAACAAAUAAUGCCUGUACCAUAAUCGACACAGGUGGGUAGGUAGAGUAUACUAAGGGGCGCGAGAUAACUCUCUCUAAGGAACUCGGCAAAAUGACUCCGUAACUUCGGGAGAAGGAGUGCCUUAUUUUAUAAGGUUGCAAUAACAAGAUCCAAGCAACUUUUUACCAAAAACACAGGUCUCCGCUAAGUCGUAAGACGAUGUAUGGGGGCUGACGCCUGCCCAGUGCCAGAAGGUUAAAGAAGUUGGUUAGCAUUAGCGAAGCUGAUAACUGAAGCCCUGGUGAACGGCGGCCGUAACAAUAACGGUCCUAAGGUAGCGAAAUUCCUUGUCGGGUAAGUUCCGACCCGCACGAAAGGCGUAAUGAUUUGGAUACUGUCUCGGAGAGGGGCUCGGUGAAAUAGACUUGUCUGUGAAGAUGCGGACUACCUGCACCAGGACAGAAAGACCCUAUGAAGCUUUACUGUAACUUGAGAUUGAAAUUGGACUUCAUUUGCGCAGUAUAGGUGGGAGACGUUGAAAAUAUUCUUGCGGGAAUAUUGGAGUCAUCAGUGAGAUACCACUCUUAUAAUGUUAGAUUUCUAACUUUGUAUCAUUAUCUGGUCAAAGAACAGUCUCAGGCGGGCAGUUUGACUGGGGCGGUCGCCUCCCAAACGGUAACGGAGGCGCACAAAGGUUUCCUCUGAACGUGUAGAAAUCGUAUCUAGAGUGUAAAGGCAUAAGGAAGCUUGACUGUGAGACCUACAAGUCGAGCAGGGACGAAAGUCGGUCUUAGUGAUCUGACGGUGCUGAGUGGAAAGGCCGUCACUCAACGGAUAAAGUUACUCUAAGGAUAACAGGCUGAUCUCCCCCAAGAGUUCACAUCGACGGGGAGGUUUGGCACCUCGAUGUCGGCUCAUCGCAUCCUGGGGCGGUAGUACGUCCCAAGGGUUGGGCUGUUCGCCCAUGAAAGCGGUACGCGAGCUGGGUUCAGAACGUCGUGAGACAGUUCGGUCCAUAUCCGGUGUAGGCGUUAGAAUAUUGAGAGGAGCCUUCUUUAGUACGAGAGGACCGAGAAGGACAUACCUCUGGUGUACCAGUUAUCGUGCCAACGGUAAACGCUGGGUAGCUAUGUAUGGAGAGGAUAACCGCUGAAAGCAUCUAAGUGGGAAGCCCACCUCAAGAUGAGUAUUCU